UGGGGAAUAUUGCACAAUGGGCGCAAGCCUGAUGCAGCCAUGCCGCGUGUAUGAAGAAGGCCUUCGGGUUGUAAAGUACUUUCAGCGAGGAGGAAGGCGUUGUGGUUAAUAACCGCAACGAUUGACGUUACUCGCAGAAGAAGCACCGGCUAACUCCGUGCCAGCAGCCGCGGUAAUACGGAGGGUGCAAGCGUUAAUCGGAAUUACUGGGCGUAAAGCGCACGCAGGCGGUCUGUCAAGUCGGAUGUGAAAGCCCCGGGCUCAACCUGGGAACUGCAUCCGAAACUGGCAGGCUAGAGUCUUGUAGAGGGGGGUAGAAUUCCAGGUGUAGCGGUGAAAUGCGUAGAGAUCUGGAGGAAUACCGGUGGCGAAGGCGGCCCCCUGGACAAAGACUGACGCUCAGGUGCGAAAGCGUGGGGAGCAAACA
Molecule: ribosomal RNA, 427 nt
Filed under: uncultured bacterium
Lineage: Bacteria
Description: partial 16S ribosomal RNA
Rfam family: Bacterial small subunit ribosomal RNA
Source: RNAcentral